Molecule: ribosomal RNA, 253 nt
Filed under: uncultured bacterium
Lineage: Bacteria
Description: partial 16S ribosomal RNA
Rfam family: Bacterial small subunit ribosomal RNA
Source: RNAcentral
UACGGAAGGGGCUAGCGUUGUUCGGAAUUACUGGGCGUAAAGCGCGCGCAGGCGGAUUUCCAAGUUGGGGGUGAAAUCCCGGGGCUCAACUUCGGAAUUGCCCUUGAUACUGUCUAUCUCGAGUCCGGGAGAGGUGAGUGGAAUUCCUAGUGUAGAGGUGAAAUUCGUAGAUAUUAGGAAGAACACCAGUGGCGAAGGCGGCUCACUGGCCCGGUACUGACGCUCAUGUGCGAAAGCGUGGGGAGCAAACAGG